RNAcentral lists this ribosomal RNA (248 nucleotides) under uncultured bacterium. RNAcentral's name for it is "partial 16S ribosomal RNA". It matches the Rfam family "Bacterial small subunit ribosomal RNA", at positions 524 to 770 of the family's 1533-position model. The record is from RNAcentral.
UACAGGGGGUGCAAACGUUGCUCGGAAUCAUUGGGCGUAAAGCGCACGUAGGCGGUCUGUUAUGUCGGAUGUCGAAAGCCCUUGGCUCAACUGAGGAAGUGCAUCCGAAACUGGCAGGCUAGAGUACUAAAGAGGAUCGCGGAAUUCCCGGUGUAGAGGUGAAAUUCGUAGAUAUCGGGAGGAACACCGGUGGCGAAGGCGGCGAUCUGGGUAGAUACUGACGCUGAGGUGCGAAAGCGUGGGGAGCA